CUGCCACUAACACGCAGCACAUAUACUAAAAUUGGGAUGAUACAGAGAAGAUUAGCAUGGCCCCUGCACAAAGAUGACACGCAAGUUACAAAACACAGUACCUAAAAUU
Small nuclear RNA from Sorex araneus (European shrew), 109 nucleotides. NCBI's taxonomy places the organism in Eukaryota, Metazoa, Chordata, Mammalia, Eulipotyphla, Soricidae. The record is from RefSeq and is a predicted model, not a curated record.